GACGAACGCUGGCGGCGUGCUUAACACAUGCAAGUCGAACGGAAAGGCCCUGCUUUUGUGGGGUGCUCGAGUGGCGAACGGGUGAGUAACACGUGAGUAACCUGCCCUUGACUUUGGGAUAACUUCAGGAAACUGGGGCUAAUACCGGAUAGGAGCUCCUGCUGCAUGGUGGGGGUUGGAAAGUUUCGGCGGGUGGGGAUGGACUCGCGGCUUAUCAGCUUGUUGGUGGGGUAGUGGCUGACCAAGGCUUUGACGGGUAGCCGGCCUGAGAGGGUGACCGGCCACAUUGGGACUGAGAUACGGCCCAGAGUCCUACGGGAGGCAGCAGUGGGGAAUAUUGCACAAUGGGCGGAAGCCUGAUGCAGCAACGCCGCGUGCGGGAUGACGGCCUUCGGGGUGUAAACCGCUUUCGCCUGUGACGAAGCGUGAGUGACGGUAAUGGAUAAAGAAGCACCGGCUAACUACGUG
RNAcentral lists this ribosomal RNA (468 nucleotides) under uncultured bacterium. Its description in RNAcentral is "partial 16S ribosomal RNA". It matches the Rfam family "Bacterial small subunit ribosomal RNA", at positions 28 to 507 of the family's 1533-position model. The record is from RNAcentral.